Molecule: transfer RNA, 72 nt
Filed under: Pararge aegeria (speckled wood butterfly)
Lineage: Eukaryota; Metazoa; Arthropoda; Insecta; Lepidoptera; Nymphalidae
Also listed under: 1 other name
Description: tRNA-Asp (GTC) (tRNA-Asp-GTC-3-1)
Rfam family: tRNA
About the family: Transfer RNA (tRNA) molecules are approximately 80 nucleotides in length. Their secondary structure includes four short double-helical elements and three loops (D, anti-codon, and T loops). Further hydrogen bonds mediate the characteristic L-shaped molecular structure. tRNAs have two regions of fundamental functional importance: the anti-codon, which is responsible for specific mRNA codon recognition, and the 3' end, to which the tRNAs corresponding amino acid is attached (by aminoacyl-tRNA synthetases). tRNAs cope with the degeneracy of the genetic code in two manners: having more than one tRNA (with a specific anti-codon) for a particular amino acid; and 'wobble' base-pairing, i.e. permitting non-standard base-pairing at the 3rd anti-codon position.
Source: RNAcentral
UCCUCGGUAGUAUAGUGGUCAGUAUCCCCGCCUGUCACGCGGGAGACCGGGGUUCGAUUCCUCGCCGGGGAG